Molecule: ribosomal RNA, 522 nt
Filed under: uncultured Bacteroidota bacterium
Lineage: Bacteria; Pseudomonadati; Bacteroidota
Description: bacterial SSU rRNA
Rfam family: Bacterial small subunit ribosomal RNA
Source: RNAcentral
GAGUUUGAUCAUGGCUCAGGAUGAACGCUAGCUACAGGCUUAACACAUGCAAGUCGAGGGGCAGCAUUGGAGUAGCAAUACUUCAGAUGGCGACCGGCGCACGGGUGAGUAACACGUAUCCAACCUGCCGCUUACUCGGGGAUAGCCUUUCGAAAGAAAGAUUAAUACCCGAUGGUAUAAAGAGUUCGCAUGUUCUCUUUAUUAAAGAAUUUCGGUAAGCGAUGGGGAUGCGUUCCAUUAGAUUGUUGGCGGGGUAACGGCCCACCAAGUCUACGAUGGAUAGGGGUUCUGAGAGGAAGGUCCCCCACAUUGGAACUGAGACACGGUCCAAACUCCUACGGGAGGCAGCAGUGAGGAAUAUUGGUCAAUGGACGCGAGUCUGAACCAGCCAAGUAGCGUGAAGGAUGACUGCCCUAUGGGUUGUAAACUUCUUUUAUAAGGGAAUAAAGUGAGGGACGUGUCCCUUUUUGUAUGUACCUUAUGAAUAAGGAUCGGCUAACUCCGUGCCAGCAGCCGCGGUAC